AGAAUAUUGGUCAAUAGCCUAACGGCUGAACCAGCAACUUGAAUGAAUGAAAGGCGAAAGCCGCAUGCAUAUAACAUACUUUAUGCAGUAGUAACAACGUUACAUAAAGUUCUAGAUAAAUAUUUGAUAAUGACAGGAUUUAUCUAUGAGUCUUGACCAAGUCACGUGCCAGCAGUCGCGGUAACACGUGGAAGACAAGUGUUAUUCAUAUUGAUUCGGUUUAAAGGGUACCUAGACAGUCAACCAAGCCUAAAUCAGGUACUAGUUGUACUAGAGUUUUAUAGAAGAAAAUGGUAGAGGAGUUAGUGUAGAGAUAAAAUUUUUUGAUACUACUGCAGACUGACAAGGGCGAAAGCGAUUUUUUAUGUAAAAACUGACGUUGAGGGACGAAGGCUCAAUUUAAAAGAAUAGGAUUAGAUACCCUAGUAUUACGAGCAGUAAAUGCUGAGUGUCAUAGAUAAGUAAACUAAUAAUAUUAAUUUCGUUAAUAUUAGAAUAUUAUUUAUGUAUAAAUGAAAGUGCAAGCACUCCACCUUAAGAGUAAUGCGGCAACGCAGGAACUGAAAUCAUUAGACCGUUUCUGAAACCAGUAGUGAAGUAUGUUAUUUAAUUUGAUAACCCGCAAAAAACCUUACCACAAUUUGAAUAGCUUUUUUAAAAAGGAAAAGUUACAGGAGUUGCACGGCUGUCUUCAGUUGAUAUCGUGAGAUUUUGGUUAGUUCCAUUCAAUCAACGUAAACCCUUUUUCUAUUUGUUAUAGAAUAACGCCGCCUUUGGUAAGGAUAAUAGGGACUAGGACAAGUCAUCAUGACCCGAAUAUUGUGGGC
Molecule: ribosomal RNA, 827 nt
Filed under: Porina sp. E. Baloch CR1027-F1676
Lineage: Eukaryota; Fungi; Ascomycota; Lecanoromycetes; Ostropales; Porinaceae
Description: SSU rRNA
Rfam family: Bacterial small subunit ribosomal RNA
Source: RNAcentral